UGGGGAAUUUUGGACAAUGGGCGAAAGCCUGAUCCAGCAAUGCCGCGUGUGUGAAGAAGGCCUUCGGGUUGUAAAGCACUUUUGUCCGGAAAGAAAUCCUUGGCUCUAAUACAGUCGGGGGAUGACGGUACCGGAAGAAUAAGCACCGGCUAACUACGUGCCAGCAGCCGCGGUAAUACGUAGGGUGCAAGCGUUAAUCGGAAUUACUGGGCGUAAAGCGUGCGCAGGCGGUUUGCUAAGACCGAUGUGAAAUCCCCGGGCUCAACCUGGGAACUGCAUUGGUGACUGGCAGGCUAGAGUAUGGCAGAGGGGGGUAGAAUUCCACGUGUAGCAGUGAAAUGCGUAGAGAUGUGGAGGAAUACCGAUGGCGAAGGCAGCCCCCUGGGCCAAUACUGACGCUCAUGCACGAAAGCGUGGGGAGCAAACAGGAUUAGAUACCCUGGUAGUCCAGCGCCCUAAACGAUGUCAACUAGUUGUUGGGGAUUCAUUUCCUUAGUAACGUAGCUAACGCGUGAAGUUGAUCCGCCUGGGGAGUACGGUCGCAAGAUUAAAACUCAAAUGAAUUGACGGGGUCAUAGCUGUUUCCU
RNAcentral lists this ribosomal RNA (587 nucleotides) under uncultured bacterium. RNAcentral's name for it is "partial 16S ribosomal RNA". It matches the Rfam family "Bacterial small subunit ribosomal RNA", at positions 355 to 1375 of the family's 1533-position model. The record is from RNAcentral.